This is a small nucleolar RNA of Tachyglossus aculeatus (Australian echidna), 136 nucleotides long. The record is from RefSeq and is a predicted model, not a curated record. NCBI's taxonomy places the organism in Eukaryota, Metazoa, Chordata, Mammalia, Monotremata, Tachyglossidae.
CUCCUUUCAGGGUGGCCCCUGGAGAGUUUCCAGUACUCUACCAGUCUCGACUGUGGGAGGGAGUCGGGCAGAAGCUUAUCCAUUCCAUUCCAAGCUUGGGCAGUGGCUAGUGAGUGGAAGGCAAUCUGCUACAAGU